Nymphalis io (European peacock) is the source of this 572-nucleotide long non-coding RNA. RefSeq lists it as uncharacterized. The transcript has 4 exons. NCBI's taxonomy places the organism in Eukaryota, Metazoa, Arthropoda, Insecta, Lepidoptera, Nymphalidae. The record is from RefSeq and is a predicted model, not a curated record.
UGUUCCAUACGAAAAUGUUUAACGUGACGGAAUUCACGUAUCAGUCUCUUCGAGGUUUAUUUAUUCUUCAUCAAUAUGAUUAAUUUAUAAACGACAAGCAGGUUCAUAAUAAUCCAUUAGCCCAUAGAUGCGUUGUGCUAAACACGUCAAUUUCUGAAUCGCGGUGUGCAGAUAUUUCGGAGUGGAGUGACCUUCUGACAUACAUAAGCAGGGUUGAUUUUUUUAUCUAUUACUUGCUGCUGCUUUACCCAUGAGCAUCUAUAUGAAGCAUGUCCACGUAAUCGGCGAUAAAAAAACCAGCAGCGGAAAAUCCAAUGAGCGGCUGAUUAUUUAAAAGAAAUCCUCUAAAUAAUAGCUAUAUAUUUUUUAAUUCACAUUAGCCCUUGUAAAAAUUUACAAGAUCAUAGGUAAGGGCCAAAUACCAAGUAUGAUGGAAACCCACCUGACGACACUGACAUGACGAAGCGGAAACGCUUAAAGAUUUAUAUCGGCCAUCGAACUCCACGAAACAGUCUGGGAUUUUACAAUAUUUUUAUUAUGCAAAUAAAAUUGAGGAGUUAACUACCUUAAAA